This 768-nucleotide small RNA is filed under the name Elm witches'-broom phytoplasma. RNAcentral describes it as "bacterial LSU rRNA". The stretch from base 287 to 768 matches the Rfam family "Bacterial large subunit ribosomal RNA", at positions 1 to 518 of the family's 2925-position model. Lineage: Bacteria; Bacillati; Mycoplasmatota; Mollicutes; Acholeplasmatales; Acholeplasmataceae. The record is from RNAcentral.
GGAUGGAUCACCUCCUUUCUAAGGACAUACAUAUAAAAAUUAUCAUCUUCAGUUUUGAAAGACUUAGGUUAAAAUAUAAGUUUUUCUUUUUACAAAAAAAAGUGUUUCUCUUAUAUAAAAGACCAAAGGGCCUAUAGCUCAGUUGGUUAGAGCACACGCCUGAUAAGCGUGAGGUCGGUGGUUCAAGUCCACUUAGGCCCACCAAUUUUAUAUCAGGAAAAUAUUUACUACUUUGAAGAAAGUUCUUUGAAAAGUAGAUAAACAUGAUUUGCUUAAUUCAAUUAAAAUUGAAGAAAGUAAGGGCGUACAGUGAAUGCCUUGGCACUAAGAGCCGAUGAAGGACGCAAUUAACGGCGAUACACCAUGGGGAGUUGUAAAUAAAUGAAGAUCCAUGGAUUUCCGAAUGGGGCAACCUACUACAGUAAAAUUGUAGUUUUUUGAUUGUAAAAUCAAAAAGGGAACGCAGUGAACUGAAAUAUCUAAGUAACUGCAGGAAAAGAAAGUAAUAACGAUUCCGCUAGUAGUGACGAACGAACGCGGAAGAGCCUUGGAUACUAUUAACUAGUUACAAAAUAAAAAGCAACUUGAAGUUUCUGGAAAGAAACACCAAAGAAGGUGACAGUCCUGUAAGGGAAAACUUUUUAUCUAGAGUAUCCUACAAGUACGGCGAGACACGAGAAAUCUUGUUGGAAGACAGGAGGACCAUCUCCUAAGGCUAAAUACUUCUUAGUGACCGAUAGUGAACUAGUACCGUGAGGGAAAGGCGAA